ACGCUUUUCGGUGGUCUUUUUCGCAAUUGACAUACACGCGGCUACAGGCAUACUUGUUGCACCAGCACCAUUAUUCCACAUUUCGUAACUAGUAUUAGAGAUGAACCAGCCUUUGGCUGAAAAUCUCUUUAAUAAAGAAAGAAAAGAAAAAAUCAUAACUACAGUCGUACCUCGAUAUAAGGCAUCCUCGAUAUAACGUAACUUUUUCAGAUGUCUUAGAAUUAAAAAUAAACAAUGCAGAAAUAGUUUUUGGAGUAUGAAUUAUGUUUCCAUUUCAAUUUGGAAUCUCAAUCUGGAUGACAGAAUUAUUCAAUAAAGUCGAAUUAAAUUAGUUCUGGAAACUUCCGGCGCAUAUCAAUACAUGGUUGAAUUUGUACCUAAUGGAAGUUAACAUCCGAAUCAUCAUUUGCCACACCAAACGAAUCAUGCGAGAUAACGAUAUCCAAACACAGCGUUCGAUUUCCAGAAAACCAGCCCGUCAACAGCGCGUGAUUGUUUUUGUUUGUAUCUCAAGGAAUCAGACCCGCGAUAGGCGCGCGGAUGCUAGCGUAAGCAAUUUAUGUAAACCUAAAACCAAGAUAGAAUGAAGCACAUCAGUUCUGUUUCGACCGUCAGAGAAGACGCUUCCAUUUUUUUCAAAAAUCCGAACCGACCCUUCAGGUCUUGGACAUUUCACAAACGUAAACAAUGACGUCGAUCGGUACUAGAGAUGUGCAAACCAGCUCAUCAUGGUGAACAGCUCAGAUCAGUUCAGCUCACCUAAAAGAGCUGUUCUUUAUGAACAGCUCUUCAGCUCAGUUGUCAAUACGCUAUACUCAUCGGAAAACAAAAUGUUACUGCGUGUGUACUGGAGCAAAACUAUCGUAAAUUUUUGUCAUUUCUCUAGUCUCUUUCUUUAUUCGUCAUUUCUCUAGUGGAAGGGAAUCGAUUCGGAGGUUCCGCGCAGGAAGCGAUGGAUAUCAGUUUGGCGAAUGAUGCACAAUCUCAACAACUUCGCCACACAACUAUAGUUCUACAACAGUACACCCAGCGAAAACCAUCACCAUUACUACCACCGACAGUAGCCCACAAAAUAGACAAAAUUAAAGAAUCUUCUAUCGAUAGUGGCAAGAAUGAAGGCGAUUUGGCACCGGUUCCGAAACCGGUCGACAGCACUACGAACGUAGCUAUUUCAGCAGAUUUGAUGUUCCAAUGUGACAAACGACGACGACUUCGGGCUUGGCGCCCGAGAGCAAUAACUCCGACACAGAGAUCCUGAACCAAUGUCGAUACAGUAGAAGAAAAAAUCCGCCUACAGCCUAGUGUCAAACCGAGUCAGUUGCCCCUACUGGCAGGUUACCUUCGGACAACAAUUAGUAGACAGACAGAUAGUAGACAUUUUAAAUUUGAUUGGAUUUCAAACAAAAAAAAGACGGGUGGGUAAUGUCGGGGACAUAACCGGAGUGACGUAGGACUAUACAAAGGGGACAGCUUUUGUUAAAUAUAUAUUUUAAAUAUA
Toxorhynchites rutilus septentrionalis is the source of this 1498-nucleotide long non-coding RNA. RefSeq lists it as uncharacterized. The record is from RefSeq and is a predicted model, not a curated record. The transcript has 4 exons. NCBI's taxonomy places the organism in Eukaryota, Metazoa, Arthropoda, Insecta, Diptera, Culicidae.